UACGUAGGUGGCGAGCGUUGUCCGGAUUUACUGGGCGUAAAGAGCGCGCAGGCGGUCGUGCAAGUCGCGUGUGAAAGCCCCCGGCUCAACUGGGGAGGGUCACGCGAUACUGCUCGACUUGAAGGCAGGAGAGGGAAGUGGAAUUCCCGGUGUAGUGGUGAAAUGCGCAGAUAUCAGGAAGAACACCAAUGGCGAAGGCAGCUCUCUGGGACGGUACUGACGCUGAGACGCGAAAGCGUGGGGAGCGAACAGG
This 253-nucleotide ribosomal RNA is filed under the name uncultured bacterium. RNAcentral's name for it is "partial 16S ribosomal RNA". It matches the Rfam family "Bacterial small subunit ribosomal RNA", at positions 524 to 776 of the family's 1533-position model. The record is from RNAcentral.